RNAcentral lists this transfer RNA (85 nucleotides) under Friedmanniomyces endolithicus. RNAcentral's name for it is "tRNA-Ile". The record is from RNAcentral. Lineage: Eukaryota; Fungi; Ascomycota; Dothideomycetes; Mycosphaerellales; Teratosphaeriaceae.
GGUCGUUUAGCUCAGUUGGUUAGAGCGUGGUGAUAAUAACGCCAAGGUCGCGAGUUCGACCGUACGUUCCCCCCCGGAGUAUCCU